UACGUAGGGCGCAAGCGUUAUCCGGAAUUAUUGGGCGUAAAGAGCUCGUAGGCGGUUUGUCGCGUCUGCCGUGAAAGCCCGGGGCUCAACUCCGGAUCUGCGGUGGGUACGGGCAGACUAGAGUGAUGUAGGGGAGACUGGAAUUCCUGGUGUAGCGGUGAAAUGCGCAGAUAUCAGGAGGAACACCGAUGGCGAAGGCAGGUCUCUGGGCAGGAACUGACGCUGAGGAGCGAAAGCAUGGGGAGCGAACAGG
RNAcentral lists this ribosomal RNA (253 nucleotides) under uncultured bacterium. Its description in RNAcentral is "partial 16S ribosomal RNA". It matches the Rfam family "Bacterial small subunit ribosomal RNA", at positions 524 to 776 of the family's 1533-position model. The record is from RNAcentral.